UACGUAGGGUGCGAGCGUCGUCCGGAAUUACUGGGCGUAAAGAGCUCGUAGGUGGUUUGUCGCGUUGUCCGUGAAAACUCACAACUCAAUUGUGGGCGUGCGGGCGAUACGGGCAGACUGGAGUACUGCAGGGGAGACUGGAAUUCCUGGUGUAGCGGUGGAAUGCGCAGAUAUCAGGAGGAACACCGGUGGCGAAGGCGGGUCUCUGGGCCGGUACUGACGCUGAGGAGCGAAAGCGUGGGGAGCGAACAGG
RNAcentral lists this ribosomal RNA (253 nucleotides) under uncultured bacterium. RNAcentral describes it as "partial 16S ribosomal RNA". It matches the Rfam family "Bacterial small subunit ribosomal RNA", at positions 524 to 776 of the family's 1533-position model. The record is from RNAcentral.